Molecule: ribosomal RNA, 460 nt
Filed under: uncultured bacterium
Lineage: Bacteria
Description: partial 16S ribosomal RNA
Rfam family: Bacterial small subunit ribosomal RNA
Source: RNAcentral
CCUACGGGUGGCAGCAGUGAGGAAUAUUGGUCCAUGGGCGCGAGCCUGAACCAGCCAAGUAGCGUGCAGGAUGACUGCCCUACGGGUUGUAAACUUCUUUUAUACAGGAAUAAAGUGAGUCACGUGUGCCUUUUUGUAUGUACUUUAUGAAUAAGGAUCGGCUAACUCCGUGCCAGCAGCCGCGGUAAUACGGAGGAUCCGAGCGUUAUCCGGAUUUAUUGGGUUUAAAGGGAGCGUAGAUGGGUUGUUAAGUCAGUUGGGAAAGUUUGCGGCUCAACCGGAAAAUUGCAAUGGAGACUGGCAUGCUUGAGUACAGUUGAGGUAGGCGGAAUUCGUGGUGUAGCGGUGAAAUGCUUAGAUAUGACGAAGAACCCUGAUGGCGAAGGCAGCUUACUAAACUGCCACUGACAUUGAUGCUCGAAAGCGUGGGUAUCAAACAGGAUUAGAUACCCGGGUAGUC